Molecule: ribosomal RNA, 257 nt
Filed under: Clostridioides difficile
Lineage: Bacteria; Bacillati; Bacillota; Clostridia; Peptostreptococcales; Peptostreptococcaceae
Description: partial 23S ribosomal RNA
Rfam family: Bacterial large subunit ribosomal RNA
Source: RNAcentral
UGGUCAAGUUAUUAAGGGUGCAGGGCGGAUGCCUUGGCACUAGGAGCCGAUGAAGGACGUGAUAAGCUGCGAUAAGCUUCGGGGAGUUGCACGUAAACUUUGAUCCGAAGAUUUCCGAAUGAGGAAACUCACUUAGAGUAAUGUCUAAGUAUCAUUAAGUGAAUACAUAGCUUAAUGAGGGGAACUCAGGGAACUGAAACAUCUAAGUACCUGAAGGAAGAGAAAGAAAUUCGAUUCCGUAAGUAGCGGCGAGCGAA